Molecule: ribosomal RNA, 503 nt
Filed under: uncultured bacterium
Lineage: Bacteria
Description: bacterial SSU rRNA
Rfam family: Bacterial small subunit ribosomal RNA
Source: RNAcentral
UAAGGAAUAUUGGUCAAUGGACGCAAGUCUGAACCAGCCAUGCCGCGUGAAGGAUGAAGGUCCUCUGGAUUGUAAACUUCUUUUAUGUGGGACGAAAUGCAUUUUUUCUAAAGUGUUUGACGGUACCAUAGGAAUAAGCACCGGCUAACUCCGUGCCAGCAGCCGCGGUAAUACGGAGGGUGCAAGCGUUAUCCGGAUUCACUGGGUUUAAAGGGUGCGUAGGUGGGGGCUUGUAAGUCAGUGGUGAAAUCUCCGGGCUUAACCCGGAAACUGCCAUUGAUACUAUAGGUCUUGAAUUAUCUGGAGGUCAGCGGAAUAUGUCAUGUAGCGGUGAAAUGCUUAGAUAUGACAUAGAACACCGAUUGCGAAGGCAGCUGGCUACGGGUGGAUUGACACUGAGGCACGAAAGCGUGGGGAUCAAACAGGAUUAGAUACCCUGGUAGUCCACGCCCUAAACGAUGGAUACUCGACAUUUGUGAUAGACGAUAAGUGUCUGAGCGAAA